GUUGAAGAACUCCUUUCAGCAUUUCUUAUAAGGCAAGUCCAGUGGUGAUCAACUCCCUCAGCUGUUGUUUGUUAGGAAAGUGUUUAUCUCACCUUCAUUUCUGAUGGACAGCUUUGCCAGAUGAGGAAACUGGAAGCUGAGACUUUGAGGAAAUCUCCUAAGUUUACAAAUGAAUAUUACUUAGAGCUCACAUUCAAACUCAGGAUCUCAAGGGAUCCCAGUGAGUUGGUGAUUAUCUACAGUAUUGAAAAAAUGUUGGACUUGAUCCCAAGAGAACUGUGAAUUCGUGUUGGUUUUUCUACUUGGUACCUUGGUGGUCAAGAGACAAUUUCUAUGUCCUGGCUCUGUUUUUUCAUUUGCAUAAUGAGAGGAAUGAAAUGUCUGAUCUCUGAAGUUCUUCUGAGUACUGAUAUUCUAAGCAUCCUCAUGUUUUAUAGGUCAUUCACAAUGAUCCAUGUGAUAUCUGAAAGAAAUGCCUUUGGAUUUGUCUUUGGGAAGUAUAAAUGAGGUACAGUGAAUGAAACCUUUAAAGCACUAUGCCAAUUGUAUUAGUUUUCUAUUGCUGUGUAAUGAAAUACAACAGAUUUUGUGGCUUAGAAUAAUACGUAUUUGUUAUCUCACAGUUUCCAUGGGUUAGGAGUCUCAGCAUGGUUUAGCUGGGUCUUCUGCUCAGGGUCUCACAAGGCUGCAGUCAAGGCUAAUUCAUUUCUGGGGCUUGGUCUUUUUCCAAGCUCUGGUUGUUGGCAGAAUUCCUUUUCUUAUGGUUGUAGAAUGGAGGUCUCCAUUUUCUUUUUGGCUGUCAACCAGAGGCAGCUCUCAGCCCCUAGAGGUUGCUGGCAGUUUCUUGCUCUGUGGCUCCCUCAUAAGCCCUUUCAAAACCUGGAAGCUUACUUCUUCAAGCCAAUGGGAAGGAGUCUCUCCCUCCUGUUUGCUAAGACUAAGUCUUAUAUGACCAUACUAAGUUGAAUAGUGUCCCCUCAAAUUCAUGUCUACCUGAAACCUUACAAAGUGACCAUUUUUAAAAAUGGGUCUUUGCAGAUGUAAUUAGUCAAGUUAACAUGAGGUCAUACUGGAGUAGAGUAGGUCCUAAGCUAAUAACUGUUGUCCUUGCAAGAAAAUAGAGGCAUACAGACAAACAGAGGGAAGACAGCCAUAUGGCAGCAGAGCCAAAGAUUGGGGUUUGGCUGCUAUAAGCCAAGGAACACUAAGGAUUUCUGGUAACCACCGAAGCUAGAAGAGGCAAGGAAAGAGUCCUCCCCUAGAGCCUUCAGAGAGGUCAUGGACCUACAGGCACCUUGAUUGCAGACUUUUAGCCUCCAAAACUGUGAGAAAAUACAUUUCUGCUAUUUUCUGAGCCACCAAAUUUGUGGGACUUCAUUAUGGCAGCCCUAGAAAACUAAUACAAUAACAUGAUGUAAUCACAAGAAUAACAAUAUCCCAUUACCAUUGCUAUAUAACAUAACCAAAUCAAGGAAGUGACUGACAUUCUAUCAUCUUUGCUGUUUCUGUUGGUUGGAAGCAAGUCACAAAUUCCUCCUACACUGAAGGGGAAAGAAUUAUACAAGGUAACUCAUUGGGAUCACCUUAGGAUGUACCUGCCACAUCAAUGCAGGUUUAUCUUAUUUUGUGAGAGUGGACCCUUCUAUUAUGUAGGAAUUGAAUUAAACAGCCCUAUCUAACUUUCUUUACCAUUUCUAAUUAUUUUAAAAUUAUCUGAAAAGAUAU
Molecule: long non-coding RNA, 1725 nt
Organism: Balaenoptera acutorostrata (minke whale)
Lineage: Eukaryota; Metazoa; Chordata; Mammalia; Artiodactyla; Balaenopteridae
Exons: 3
Source: RefSeq, a predicted model, not a curated record